RNAcentral lists this ribosomal RNA (590 nucleotides) under uncultured haloarchaeon. Its description in RNAcentral is "bacterial SSU rRNA". It matches the Rfam family "Archaeal small subunit ribosomal RNA", at positions 332 to 921 of the family's 1478-position model. Lineage: Archaea; Methanobacteriati; Methanobacteriota; Halobacteria; Halobacteriales; Halobacteriaceae. The record is from RNAcentral.
GCAGCAGGCGCGAAACCUUUACACUGCACGCCAGUGCGAUAAGGGGAUCCCAAGUGCGUAGGCAUAGAGCCUACGCUUUUGUCCACCCUAGGGUGGUGGACGAAUAAGGGCUGGGCAAGGCCGGUGCCAGCCGCCGCGGUAAUACCGGCAGCCCGAGUGAUGGCCGAUCUUAUUGGGCCUAAAGCGUCCGUAGCUGGCCGCACAAGUCCAUCGGGAAAUCCACCUGCUCAACAGGUGGGCGUCCGGUGGAAACUGUGUGGCUUGGGACCGGAAGGCGCGACGGGUACGUCCGGGGUAGGAGUGAAAUCCCGUAAUCCUGGACGGACCGCCGAUGGCGAAAGCACGUCGCGAAAACGGAUCCGACAGUGAGGGACGAAAGCUAGGGUCUCGAACCGGAUUAGAUACCCGGGUAGUCCUAGCCGUAAACACUGCCUGCUAGGUGUGGCACCCACUACGAGUGGGUGCUGUGCCGUAGGGAAGCCGCUAAGCAGGCCGCCUGGGAAGUACGUCCGCAAGGAUGAAACUUAAAGGAAUUGGCGGGGGAGCACUACAACCGGAGGAGCCUGCGGUUUAAUUGUAUUCAACGCCGG